Molecule: long non-coding RNA, 1280 nt
Organism: Tachyglossus aculeatus (Australian echidna)
Lineage: Eukaryota; Metazoa; Chordata; Mammalia; Monotremata; Tachyglossidae
Exons: 8
Source: RefSeq, a predicted model, not a curated record
UACCAAAGAAAUCAAGCGGCUGCAGCUUUCCCUCCAACCGAACGCUCAACUAGGAAUGCUGAAAGUGGAAACCCAUCGUUCGCUCUGCCGAGAUUACCUUCCAUUCUGAGACCAAGUUGCACGCCUUCCUUGCUGUCAACCAGGCGGUGAUCCUUGCUGCUGACGGUGACAACUGCUGGGAAAGAACUGGACUACCAUCCUGCCGUUCUCUGCUGCGUUCAGUGUUCAGACAAAAAGCGGCCUCAGACCAAACCUCGUCUGCUCUCAACUCAAGGCUCCUUUGAAGUUGGAACAAAUCUCAAAGAAGAACUCGACCGCCGCAACUGCCAACUGUUUGACUAAGAAGAUGUACCAGAGGCCUUUCCCCAAAAUUCAAAACUUCAAAUGAAAAUCAUUUUGUUCCUGAAUAUUCACACCCACUCCAUACGGUGACAGGAAACCUGCCUCAUGCUGCACCAACCUCAGAAGUAAAAUAACUACAAGGACAUCCCCAGGGUAUAAUGGUUUCAUCUGGAGUACUUAUCUUUCCAAUCAACAAUGAGGGGUUGAUGCAAAAUGCGGACAUGAAGUGGAAGCAUCGUGAGCUUGUUUUUGGAACACAGACCACCAUCUUUGUUGAGAUGCACACAGAAUGGGCAAGGAGGUGGCAAGAGGAUCAGAGCAACAUACCAGAUGGUGAAAUUCCUGCCAGGGCUGGAGUUCUUUGAGAACACCAGUGGAUAAGCUAGCUUGUUUUGGCUGGCUCCAGAGUCCCUGCUGACAUCCGCAUCCUGGAAAAGGAAAAAAAAAAUAUUGUAAGAAAGCAACUACCCCAUAUGGUGAGAACCUAAAAUCAAUCGAGGUAAGGAGUACCAAGCCAUCUGCAGACAAAAUCGGGCAAGGUAAAACCUCCCAGUUGGACUCUCUCUCAUCAUGUAACCACCGGAAAUGUACACCGACAUUUCGGCUGGUGCCAGCUUCUCAGAGGAAAGAGGUUUCGCAAACAUGAUGACGAAGAUGGACGGAAAACGACCUGCCAGCUCAAUUACAUUUCUGGAAUGCAUCUGGGCAAAAUUCUGAUGUAGAUGGAAGCCAAAAAAUCAUUCUGACUGAACAGUUCAGCUUCAAAUACACCAACUCCAAGAAACAUGAGGACUCUAAAGUACUUAAUCUAGCAAUAUUAAUUACAGUGGUUAGCUGAUUGCCUAUCCUUUUCUUAUAAACCAAUCUGCUUUCCAUCACUGGUCAUUUCAGAGCCAACGUGAUUAGCAGAACAUUUUGAGAAUAAAAUUAAAAAGUAA